GUUCAGCACUACUCUGGUAUCUGACUGCCUACGAUAAGCCCUUUUUUCCAGAUCAGUUGUAAUUCUCCUCCCGAAGUAAAGGGAAAGACCACAUCAGCUGAAGGCAGUUGUCUUCCAAUUGCUAUUAAGGCAGUGUUUGUAGCUACUUAUAAACAUCUGUAAUUUCUGAAAGAAAAGAAAUAUACAACAAACAAAAACAGCCUCCCUUCUACAACAACUUAUAUAAUGGCAACUAUGAUAUCUUUAUAAGAGAUAAAAGAGAUUCAAAGACAACAUAGAAAAAAUUUUUAAAUGUCUGAAACGGUUGAAAAUUAGUAACUUCAUGGGACAACAUAGCUGUCAAUAUUCAUACAUAAUGAAAAUCAUAAGGAUCAUAUAUACAUGUAAACACAUAAUUGAAUUUUCAGAGAAGAAGAUUUAUUUAAGGGAUAAUUUUUUUUAAAAGGCAGAGUCAAAAGGUAAAAAUAUUUUCAAUGAAAAAGAAAAAGCUUCAAAAAAAACAACAAAAAAUAUAAAAUAAUCUAUGAGAUUAUCAAUAAACAAAAAGAAAAAUCUUCUACAUUAGCUAUAAAAAUAUAGAAAAGUUCUGCUGGCUAUAAUGUAUUGUAGAAAUAAAGACCAGGUUUCCUACAUUGGGGAUGGAAUGAAUCAC
RNAcentral lists this long non-coding RNA (652 nucleotides) under Bos taurus (domestic cattle). Its description in RNAcentral is "long non-coding RNA NONBTAT024453". Lineage: Eukaryota; Metazoa; Chordata; Mammalia; Artiodactyla; Bovidae. The record is from RNAcentral.